This 363-nucleotide ribosomal RNA is filed under the name uncultured bacterium. Its description in RNAcentral is "bacterial SSU rRNA". It matches the Rfam family "Bacterial small subunit ribosomal RNA", at positions 335 to 689 of the family's 1533-position model. The record is from RNAcentral.
ACUCCUACGGGAGGCAGCAGUGGGGAAUAUUGGACAAUGGGGGAAACCCUGAUCCAGCCAUGCCGCGUGUGUGAAGAAGGCCUUCGGGUUGUAAAGCACUUUCAGUGGGGAGGAAAGGUUGAUGGUUAAUACCUAUCAGCUGUGACGUUACCCACAGAAGAAGCACCGGCUAACUCCGUGCCAGCAGCCGCGGUAAUACGGAGGGUGCAAGCGUUAAUCGGAAUUACUGGGCGUAAAGCGUGCGCAGGCGGUCUGUUAAGCGAGAUGUGAAAGCCCCGGGCUCAACCUGGGAACUGCAUUUCGAACUGGCAGACUAGAGUCUUGUAGAGGGGGUAGGAAUUCCAGGUGUAGCGGUGAAAGUGC